Molecule: long non-coding RNA, 904 nt
Organism: Triticum aestivum (bread wheat)
Lineage: Eukaryota; Viridiplantae; Streptophyta; Magnoliopsida; Poales; Poaceae
Exons: 2
Source: RefSeq, a predicted model, not a curated record
AAAAGGCAACUAUUGAGUCCCACAACUUGCAUCCAAUGUGCAAAUCUGGUCCCAGCCAAUCGUAGCACGACAAGUGGCGCCUAGUCAGCACAGACGGUCAGCGCCGCACUUUUUGCAAUUACCCCCCUCGCCUUAGCACAAAAUAACCCGCACUGCACCUUACAAAGCACCCUGUCGACUGCCGACCGUCCGUCAGACAGCGCAGGGGCCAGGGCCCGUCUUCUGCCGCCCCUCCUCGUCUAGAGCUAGGCUGUGGACGAAGGUCGGCAGGCAGCAGCGGCCGGCGUACCAGGCCCGCUCUUUCCGGCUCCUGGUCUCCCUCACCGGUGUCGGCUCCGUGCUGCAGCCGGAGCUGGGCUCCGACACAGACUUCCCAGCUGCUGCAGCGACGGACUGCUGUCCGCUCUUGCUGCUGUCUGGCUCUCCGGCAGCGGCAGCGGUGGCACUCUCUCCGGUGUCGUUCCGCGUCGCCUCUUGCAGUAGGUCGGCUAGUUUUCUCCGUCCGGUCGGAGAAGCCUCUAAAGAAUUGGGCUGUGCGCGGCAUUGUCAGGGGCUGGAGACAUGAAGCUAUCACAUGAUCUGGUAGUUGAAGAUCUAGUUAUCAGCGGCGGCCGCUACAAAUUCUAUCCUCUGCUGCAGAUCAUCGCCAAGUCCUACAGCCUGGGUCAUCUCCAUCACCAACGCCUACAGCUUGGGUCUGAACCGCUCUUCUCUACUUCAUGUUUACUGAAUUUACUGAAUGUGCGUAGUCUCUGAACCACUUCUUCCCUGAUUACUGAAUUUUAGUGAAUGUGAGAUGUACUCUUGUAAACUGAGAUGUACCCUAGUAAAGUGUGCUGUCAACAUCACUUCUAGUUUAACUGAAGCAAGCAUACAUCUCUGUCCAGUGUUAGCUAAGGGCUAA